GUCGCAUUAGCUGUACUGGGAAACUCAUCAAAUUAUACCAAAUUCCGAGACAAGCUUCUUCUUCCAAUGGCGGGCCACGCCUUCGGGUAGCAGAGAUGCCGGUGGAUUACAAAGGUUGGAGAGCACUCAAAUCCUGUCAUUCGGAGUUUCAUCGCAUCACUAAUGCGGCUUUA
Molecule: small RNA, 173 nt
Filed under: uncultured Phocaeicola sp.
Lineage: Bacteria; Pseudomonadati; Bacteroidota; Bacteroidia; Bacteroidales; Bacteroidaceae
Description: Bacteroidales-1 6S-Bacteroidales RNA suggested
Rfam family: Bacteroidales-1 6S-Bacteroidales RNA suggested
Source: RNAcentral